ACAAAGCACUUUAUAAAAAAAUUCUCUGCACACAAACCCUAUAAUUUUCAUAUAACUAUCAUACUAAAGAUAAAUUCACUUUAAAGCCAACACUUAGAACAUUUUUAAACAAAAAGGUACCAGUACCUAAACACAGACAUUAACAAAUACAAGAAUACUGUACUGCCAAGAGGUUUAACCAAAUGCCUUUUGAAAGCUUCUGCAAAUAGGUUAAGAAAACAUAUGUGAGAAUUUGCACCCCCCACCCCCCAUCUCUCCAAUCUCUCCAAGAGGAAGCUUACUGCCCAAAGGCAGACUCCUCAGCCCGCUCCCAACAGCAGUACAAUAUUGAAGGAACCACUGAGCAGAUGAAACGCUUACAUCACAAGCCCAUUUUAUACACGUGACACGAAGACACAGACUGUGAGAAUCCCAUUAAGUCACUGAGAAUGUGAACAAACACACGUGGCAAAAACCAAUUUACAUAAAAUGUAAGCAUAUUCAUAAGAAUUAAAGGCUAUUCAGGUUUCUUUUUUAAAUGUUACAAAACUUUUUUUUUGUCAUUUUUAGGCACGUAGUUUUUGUUUUUACUUGUUUUUUUCUUCCUUAUCUGCAGUCAUGAGCCUACUGAGAAAGGCCUACGGAAGGGACUCUUUCAAGGAGGUAACAGGGAGAUUUUUUUUUAAGAAGUGCAGUUCAUAUCUAAUUUACACAGUGAAACUAAUCAC
This 707-nucleotide long non-coding RNA is filed under the name Bos taurus (domestic cattle). RNAcentral describes it as "long non-coding RNA NONBTAT007042". The record is from RNAcentral. Lineage: Eukaryota; Metazoa; Chordata; Mammalia; Artiodactyla; Bovidae.